UACGGGGGGAGCAAGCGUUGUUCGGAAUUAUUGGGCGUAAAGGGCGCGUAGGCGGUUGUGAAAGUCAGAUGUGAAAUACUUCGGCUCAACUGAAGAACUGCAUCUGAAACUUCAUAACUCGAGUACAGGAGAGGGAAACGGAAUUCCCGGUGUAGAGGUGAAAUUCGUAGAUAUCGGGAGGAACACCAGUGGCGAAGGCGGUUUCCUGGCCUGAUACUGACGCUGAGGCGCGAAAGCGUGGGGAGCAAGCAGG
RNAcentral lists this ribosomal RNA (253 nucleotides) under uncultured prokaryote. Its description in RNAcentral is "partial 16S ribosomal RNA". It matches the Rfam family "Bacterial small subunit ribosomal RNA", at positions 524 to 776 of the family's 1533-position model. The record is from RNAcentral.